CGCGGGUUCAGCGCCCCGCCCCAGCCCCGCCCGCCAGGCCCCGCCUCUCCCCGCCGGCCCCGCCCGCAAGGCUCCGCCCCCCCCGCCGGCCCGAGGCCGGAAGGGGGCCGCCAGGGGCACCGCGAGAGCCGCUGCCGGUGCAGCGCCCUGUACUGCUGCUUCGCGGGGACGCGGUUCGUGGUGCUCGCUACUGUUUGACGGAUGCGAGUCUCUCUCUCGGAUAGGACAAACAAUGCAGAUACCUUAAGAGAAAGAGAAGUUCUGAGGAGCCAAUGAAGAUGCUCGAAAGAGAAAGGGUCCCUGUUAACCAUGUUCCUGGCCCAGAGACUGUGAAGCCACCUAGCCAGGUGCUGUUGGAGUAGAAAAGAAGGCACACCCUGCCCAAGGAGAUCUUAGUCAGAAAAGGAAAGGAAGCUGCCAUUAGCCCAAGUGGGCUGCUGCCUGACGCCCAGAGAGCCAUGGCUUACAGGAGAGAAGGAAGAGGAAAAUGGUACCUGCCACCUGAACAGCAAAGCACACUUGUCUUGGCAAGGACUCCUUUCAGAAAUUUGAUUUGAAGAUGGAGGGUUAUCAUGUGAUAAAUGACCAAGAAGUCUCCUGGCCCAGACUGUAGGAUUUUCCAAGGGUCUCCUUCUACAGUAAGACAAAGGUGAGGAGAAUGUAACCCACUGGAUUUGGUGACUGGAGGCCUUGUAGGACCCCUGACAACAGCAGUGGACACCAGUGUUUGGCAAUAAGGAUUGAGCAAGAAGCUGGCUAUCUCAGCAAAGAUUAGCACAGAGAGAGGAUUGUGGGCCCAACUGACACUUCAUUUCCUCAUUCCUAUGGCCAGGAUGGAACAUAAACUACACCUCACGCCCCGUUCCCCACCUGAACUUACAUUGUGGGUGGGGGAGGAGAACAGAGAGAGAAUCCUAAACUGGUUGAGUAUUAACCCAGAAGGACCUGAGAGAAAAAAUUGGAAAGUGACUGAGUUACUCUGCAUUGGCAGGAUGAAGCAGAAAAGAGAACUGAAGAACUAAGUUCAGCUAUAGUGUAAUGAAGUUACAUUUUCCGCACCUGAGUCUGUGAGGGAAAAUGUGUACCCACUACAGAUGAAAAAUGGGACUGAUGAAAUUGUCUUCAAGAUCCUUUCUGUGUUGACAAUUCCAUGGCAAUAGAGAUGAGGCUUGAAGCUCUUGAAGGAAGAGACACAGUUAGGCCAAGGCAGGAGCAUUUCAAAAACCUCUAUUGAGUGCCUGGUUACAGGAGACCCGGCAAAUGGGUCUGGGUGGAAAGAGGUCCAAGAAAAUCAAGACCAUUGCGUGUGUAAGCUGUCCCUGUGUGUUUUGAGUUUGUUGCUUCUUAAAAAUUUAAAUUUGGGAACUUGCUAGAGUUAAUUAUUAUUACUAGUGAGAGUCAGCUGAUUUACUCUGAGUAAGCUGAUUUAUAAGCUGCUUUCUUAAGGGAACUAGGAAUAGGCUGUUUAGGGAACUAACUGGUGAACAAACGCAUUUUUACAGGGAGAGCCACAAAGGAUUCUCUCGACCCAGGAAGUCUGAAAGCUGAGAAUUGUUACAGAGUGCACCAUACUUUAGCUUCCCGCCUAAGUGAGCAAUACGUGCUGCAAGCACAAUGGGUUCUCCUGCUUGCAGAGAGGGUGAAAACCUUGAUCCGGGGCUCCCCCACCCUACAGAGGAGAAAGGGUGCCUAGAAUGGUGGGGAAGACACACGCCAGGCAGGAAGCCAGAAAGAAAGCCUUUCUAAGAGAGGAGGGGGAUUAAGCCAAUUUCAAGAAGCUUGAGGGGAAAACUGAUCCAGUGGAGGGGCUGGUGGAGGAGAAACAUCUCUACCUGGAGCCAAGGAGGCAGCUUUGUGCUCCUGCCCAGCAGAGCCCCACGCUUGUCAACAGCAGAGAGCUCAGCCACAGCCAGUGCUGGCAGGAGCAGGAGCAAGCAAGGCUGUUCCUGCCCGGUGAGGAAGAAGUGAGUCAUGGAGGCCGGUGACCAACUCCCUUCAGGGGAACCCCAUGGGCUGACACAGGGAGCGAGAGUGAGUUGUCUUGCUGGAGCAUGUGGGCAAGCAGGAUGCGGCCAAUGCUCACCAGUAUAUAUCAGUGCUAUUGAUCAAUACUCACACCUUUAGAUUUAUACAUGAAGGAGUGAGUGCUGGAGGUAGAGGAACCCUGCCAUAGAUAUCUUUGUUGGCGUUGAAGGCCCUUAUAAAAUACACGGAAGGCUAAGAGUAGAGAUGGGCAGAGGACAUAAACAUGUCACCCUCCAUUUUAAAGGUUGCCACUUGUGAAGAAUAAUGUGGAACGAAAAUUGAAACAUUUGCUACUCCCGGUGUUAACUAGCAGGCUUCAGUUUUCUAGAUGGUAGCUUUUGAUACCAGCACCUCUGGCAGAGAUUACUCAGUGCUUUGCACUAAAUCUGGGAAGGCCUGUUUGACGGGAAACACCUACCUAAUUGAGAGAUUCCACCCCAAACUGGAAGGAGUGGGGAGAAAUUGGUCUAAUAAAACCACAAAACCAAGCAUCAUGGAGGAUAAUCACUAUAGCACAAAGGAACGUGAAAUCAGGGAGAUUUUCAGGUGGAAGCAGCCAGGAAAUGGGUUAGAAGCAGUGUCCGUAGGCUCCAAGAUCUAUUCAGUAUGGUGCAGAAUCUGGGAAACAAACAAAGUGUAUUUAACAUUUUUACACAGUGAGGUAAACAUAAUCCCGUAGGGAUGGGGUGCGAUGCAACCAAUGGCUGGCCCAGGCCUGUCAUCCUUGUAAGAAGAGUGUUGGGAAGGCUGAAGCUCAGAACAAGCCAAAGCUUGUGGGGGAAAAAAGGCUAAAGACAAGUAAAAGUUUUUUUAAAAAAAACUGUUUGGAGCAAGAGGAAUAUGGAGGGUGCCAGCUUGCUGUUUGGGAAAUUUAGUGUGCCGUUUGCAGUUGAUAAAGACCAAGGGAGAAUACACUGGCUGAGUGUUGCUUCUGUCUCCUCCAACAAGAGAAUGCUUUUCAAGCUCCACAGAGCCCAAAAAUACCCAGAGGAGAAGAGAUAGGGGAAGUGAUCCAGGCUGCAAAUACUUACCUGUCAGGGAUGUGCUUGCUGAAAAAUUGUUGUUAAUUAACUUGGUGCACAAAAUGAAGAAGGGCGAGGAGAUAAAAGAGAGCUUUAGACAAAGAGAUUUGAGUACUUAUUUUAGAAGAUCCCCUUUAUGUGGACUAUCCUCUCCCAGCACUCCGGGGAGUAUGUGACAAACUUAAUGGGCUGGCCUUGCCCGCCCACCUGCAAACCCUCUUAAAGUCAGGUUACAGAGACAAGGUAUAACAGAGUUAAACCUGCAGAUUACAGAUCACAGUCAAAAGCCCUGCCAACUUUCCAUUCUUGAAGGUAGGUGCACAGAGCAGAAAAGGUGGGAGAGCAAUAGGAGGUCCUCUGGUCCUGGGGGCAGGGGAGGGAGGCACCAUGUCAUUUUCUGCUAAGCUGACACCUGUUCACAGCAGGUGACUUAAUCACUAAUCUCUUAAAAUAACAGCUUGUUCCCUAAGCAUUCUGGGUUCCUAGUAAAAAAGGCUCUUCAAUGGUUUCUUUUAAAGAGCCAUACCUAAUCAUAGUAUGAAAUUAGGCAAAAUAUUUCGGAAAAGAACAGAGAAUUUAAAAAUUCAACUUUGACCUCAUCGUCUAGAAAUUGCCUUUGUUAAAAUUUUCUUCUAUAGUGUUUAUUUUUUUCCUCUGAUAACAGUAGGGCAUACAUAGGAUUAAAAUUCAGACUAUAGAGAAAAAUUUAAAGAAUAAAAUAAAAACUGCCUGGAAUUCCACCACUGGUCAUAUUAUGGUAUUUUUCCUUCCAGUCUUUUUUCUCUGCACACAUACACACAUAUACAUACCUAUAGAUAAAUUUUUAAUAAAAUAUGAAUCAUAUUUGCAGUUUUGUAGUCUAUUUUUUGCACCUAAAAUUAUGUUCUGAACAUUUUCUUUAUCAUUAAAUGCUGUUCGAGAACAUGAUUGUAAUUGGCCAUCUGCUAUUUUACUACGCCAUGGUUCAUCUAACCAUUGCUUGGCUUGUUUCCAAUUCUUCACCAUUUGAAAACAGUGUCAUUAUAAACAUCCUUGUAUGAAAAUCUUCACUUUGGAUCAAUAUCUAAAGGUUGAAUUUCUAGGUCAAAGACCAAGGACAUUUUUGAGGCUUUCAAUACACAAUACUGCCUUGACCUCCAGGAAGGUUGUGCCACUUCACACCCCUGCCCCUCCUCCCUGCCUCCCUGGCGAUGGGCAAGUGAGAGCCCAUUUCUUGUCAACUUCUAUUAGAUUUGUAGUUUCUGUCUGAUGCUUUAAGGCAUCCCUGCUUUGUGCAAUCCCAUAGCACCACUGCCAUCUUGUGUUCUCCCUCUGUGGUUUUUCUAGAGAGAAAGGAUGUUCCGGUGCUUGGAAUAGUUGAAAUGUUCUCCCUAUGUUCCUCCAAAGACCUUUGCUGCUCCGUGCUGUUUUCAUGUUUGCUCUAAGGUGAUAUGAAUUUCCCUCAGUUUGACCAGCUGGGUAGCUCCUAUUUGUCCUUCUGGACUCAGCUCAGAGCUUGUCUCCACCGCAAAGCUUCUUCUGACACUCCAGGCUGGUUUAGGAGCCUCUUCUUUGUCCUCUGCUCAGUCCUUCCCCUGUCAAAGCACUUGUCACAUUGUGCUGUGUGCUCAGCUGUCUCCUCUCCGGAUGUGAGCUCUCUGAGGGGAGGGAUGUGUCUUUUUUUUCACUGUUAUCUUCAGUGCCUGACGCUGUACCUGGCAGAUGUGAAUACUCAAUAGAUGCUGAAUAAAUGCUUACUUUAUUAAAUAAAGUCCUUGAAGGUUCAUCUCUAUUUCCAUACCCUGUCUUCCAUCUCAUUCCCCCUAAAUAUGUACUGAGAGUUUUUCUGAUUAUAUGAGGAUCUAACAGUUCUAUUUAUUUAUUUUCUCUUAUUUUUCUAGAUUUAUUGAGAUAUAAUUGACGUGUAAUAUGUGUAAGUUUAAGGUGUACAAUGUGAUGAUUUUAUACAUGUAUGUAUUGUGAAAUGGUUUCUACAAUAAGGUUAGUUAACACAUCUAUCACCUCACACAGUUAUGUUUUUAUUUUGUGGUGAGAACUUUUAAGAUCUACUCUCUUAGCACCUUUCAAGAACAUAAUCCAGUAUUAUAAACUACAGUCACCAGGCUUUACAUUAGAUCCCCAGUGCUUACUUAUCUUAUAAAUCUUGUAACUGGAAGUUUGUACACUUUAACUAAUAUCUUCUCAUUUCUCCCACCCCCCAGCCCUGGCAACCCUGUUUCUACAAGGUUCUCAUGUUUCUACAAGAUUGCCUUUUUUAGAUUCCACAUAUAAGUGAG
Equus caballus (horse) is the source of this 5323-nucleotide long non-coding RNA. Lineage: Eukaryota; Metazoa; Chordata; Mammalia; Perissodactyla; Equidae. The record is from Ensembl.